Herpailurus yagouaroundi (jaguarundi) is the source of this 311-nucleotide long non-coding RNA. RefSeq lists it as uncharacterized. NCBI's taxonomy places the organism in Eukaryota, Metazoa, Chordata, Mammalia, Carnivora, Felidae. The transcript is spliced from 2 exons. The record is from RefSeq and is a predicted model, not a curated record.
CUCCCCACAGCGCACGUACCACUGUGGCCGCAGGAGAGGCUCCACCACGUCCUUGGACCGGCUGUGAGAACACACGGGUGGGAGAUCAAGAGGGGAAGAUGAAUGACCAAAGGGUGCCUCCUUCUCUCUCCAGAGGACAGCCCCCGGCUCACCUGUGCCAAACUCCAUGUCCACAAAAUCGUCAAAGACGAUGGGGAGGCUCUGAGACGAGAAUGGGUGAAUCACGCUCCUCCCCUUCAGGUGCUGGGGGCAGAGGGAGACAUCAAAAAUUCAAGAAGGCAAAAGCAAACAAUAAAUCAUUUCAAAGAUGA